Corvus hawaiiensis (hawaiian crow) is the source of this 1513-nucleotide long non-coding RNA. RefSeq lists it as uncharacterized. Lineage: Eukaryota; Metazoa; Chordata; Aves; Passeriformes; Corvidae. The record is from RefSeq and is a predicted model, not a curated record. The transcript has 8 exons.
GCGGUCUGCGCCGGCAGCCGCCGUGGCACCGAGUCCGGCGUAGGUGUGCGAGGCGGGGUGGCUUUCCCUGCGCGGUAGAGGGGGUGUGCACGUGGCUCGAGUGCCGUAAUAAGAGUGUAGCUCUGGUAGUGUAAGUUAACCCCUUUUUGAAGUAACUUGGUUUUGGAAGACAUGGUGUAUGCCGGCUGGGGUGCGGGCAGCUCACGCUGGUUUUGUUUCGUUUGUAUUAUUUGCGAGCUAAGGAUAGACAAAAGGCCUUCCCAAGGCUGCCAGCAGGGUAGGAAGAAGUCUACUAGCUCCAUACUUUUAUUAUCACCUGACCGUUGUCACAAAAAACCGAAAGAAACAAACAAAAAAAACCCCAAAACCCGCACAAAAGCCAUCUAAAAGCAAAACCAGGAAAUGCUACUCCUUUCAAUGCCCCCGGACUGCUGUCAACUGCAAGCAGCCAUCAAUGCAUUCAGUGCUUGUGCAUGAAAGAUCGCUCAGCCGUGUUGGCAGACAGAAGCUAAACCAGCACAAAAAUCCCAAAGUUCAGGAGUGAACAGUGGCUUUAGAAUGCAUCCCUCUAGUGCUGCACAGCCUGGGCUUUUGGAAUAGUAGGUCCUCAUUCAGCUGUGCUGUGGCCAGGUGAAAGGCUGCCUUGUAGCUGCAGCCCAGCCUUUAUUUCAGCAGAAGCUGCAGUAACUGCAAUGUUGAGGUUGGAAAGAGACAAUCUAAAACCAGAAGGAUUUGUCCAGAUUCCAUGAAAUAAGUGAACCAUUGGAUGGUUCUGCUUCAUCAUCUGCUGACUAAUGCACAGUCCACCUUUUCUUUCUGCAGCCAGAAGAAAAAACUCUUAACCCACUGACCUUCAUCAUUCUUACUUGGUAACAUUCACAUCUAACACAACUUGAAACUUCAGCUUGUGGUCUCAUUCAAAGAGUUGUGGUCAACUCCUCAGUGUCCAAGCUGAGACCUGUGAUGUUCCUCAGGGAUUGUUGAGACUGGUGCUGUUUAACAUCAUUGUCAGAGACAUGGACAGUGGGAUCAAGUGCACCCUCAGCAAGCCUGCUCGUGACACAGAGCUCUGUGGUGCAGCCGACAUGCUUGAGGGAAGGGAUGCCACCCAGAGGCAUCUGGACAGGCCUGAGAGUUCCCAGCUUGAGCUAAAAAACUAACCACUCUGUAUUGAUGAUAAAAGUAUCAGAAGAUUGUUUGGAAACAACAGUUUCACAGGACUGUAUAACAACAUCAGUGUAACAGAGACCUCCUCUAUAUAUUUGAACCUAUUGGUCAGUGACUGCUUAAUGCGAUCACUUCCUGAUGCUGAAGGUCUGAUGUCAUCUUCCAAGUGACUUAUGCAAUCAGCAGCGCAGACUGAGGAAAUGGGAGGGUGAAUUUGGGAAGUCAAGUUGACAAGAAAUUGACAGGAAGCUGACGCUGUGCUGAUAAAGGAAAGUAAGGCAGGCUUUGCAGUCUGUGCCAAGUUCAGUAGCUUCACUGCUGUACUGCUUGCAGGCCACCUAUAUAA